Molecule: ribosomal RNA, 497 nt
Filed under: uncultured bacterium
Lineage: Bacteria
Description: partial 16S ribosomal RNA
Rfam family: Bacterial small subunit ribosomal RNA
Source: RNAcentral
GAUGAACGCUGGCGGCGUGCCUAAUACAUGCAAGUCGAGCGAACGGACGAGAAGCUUGCUUCUCUGAUGUUAGCGGCGGACGGGUGGGUAACACGUGGAUAACCUACCUAUAAGACUGGGAUAACUUCGGGAAACCGGAGCUAAUACCGGAUAAUAUUUUGAACCGCAUGGUUCAAAGGUGAAAGACGGUCUUGCUGUCACUUAUCGAUGGAUCCGCGCUGCAUUAGCUGGUUGGUAAGGUAACGGCUUACCAAGGCAACGAUGCAUAGCCGACCUGAGAGGGGGAUCGCCCGCACGGGAGCGUAGACACGGUCCAUACUCCUACGGGAGGCAGCAGUAGGGAAUCUUCCGCAAUGGGCGAGAGCCUUACGGAGCAACGCCGCGUGUGUGAUGAAGGUCUUCGGAUCGUAAAACUCUGUUAUUAGGGAAGAACAGAUGUGUAAGUAACUGUGCACAUCGUGACGGUACCUAAUCAGAAAGCCACGGCUAACUACGUG